This 508-nucleotide ribosomal RNA is filed under the name uncultured bacterium. RNAcentral describes it as "partial 16S ribosomal RNA". It matches the Rfam family "Bacterial small subunit ribosomal RNA", at positions 28 to 507 of the family's 1533-position model. The record is from RNAcentral.
GACGAACGCUGGCGGCGUGCCUAAUACAUGCAAGUCGAGCGCAGGAAGUCAUCCGAACCCUUCGGGGGGACGUUGACGGAAUGAGCGGCGGACGGGUGAGUAACACGUAAAGAACCUGCCCUCAGGUCUGGGAUAACCACGAGAAAUCGGGGCUAAUACCAGAUGGGUCAUCGGACCGCAUGGUCCGAGGAUGAAAGGCGCUCCGGCGUCGCCUGGGGAUGGCUUUGCGGUGCAUUAGCUAGUUGGUGGGGUAAUGGCCCACCAAGGCGACGAUGCAUAGCCGACCUGAGAGGGUGAUCGGCCACACUGGGACUGAGACACGGCCCAGACUCCUACGGGAGGCAGCAGUAGGGAAUCUUCCACAAUGGACGAAAGUCUGAUGGAGCAACGCCGCGUGAACGAUGAAGGCCCUCGGGUCGUAAAGUUCUGUUGUAAGGGAAGAACAAGUGCCGCAGGCAAUGGCGGCACCUUGACGGUACCUUGCGAGAAAGCCACGGCUAACUACGUG